UACAGAGGGGGCAAGCGUUGUUCGGAAUUACUGGGCGUAAAGGGUGCGUAGGCGGCCUUCUAAGUCGAACGUGAAAUCCCCGGGCUCAACCCGGGAACUGCGUCCGAUACCGGAAGGCUUGAAUCCGGGAGAGGGAUGCGGAAUUCCAGGUGUAGCGGUGAAAUGCGUAGAUAUCUGGAGGAACACCGGUGGCGAAGGCGGCAUCCUGGACCGGCAUUGACGCUGAGGCGCGAAAGCCAGGGGAGCAAACGGG
Molecule: ribosomal RNA, 253 nt
Filed under: uncultured bacterium
Lineage: Bacteria
Description: partial 16S ribosomal RNA
Rfam family: Bacterial small subunit ribosomal RNA
Source: RNAcentral